UACAGGGGGGGCAAGCGUUGUUCGGAAUCACUGGGCGUAAAGGGCGCGUAGGCGGCUGGGGAAGUCGGCGGUGAAAGCCCGGAGCUCAACUCCGGGUCGGCCGUCGAGACUCCUCGGCUCGAGCUCACUAGAGGCAGAUGGAAUUCCGGGUGUAGCGGUGGAAUGCGUAGAGAUCCGGAAGAACACCGGUGGCGAAGGCGGUCUGCUGGGGUGAGGCUGACGCUGAUGCGCGACAGCGUGGGGAGCAAACAGG
Molecule: ribosomal RNA, 253 nt
Filed under: uncultured bacterium
Lineage: Bacteria
Description: partial 16S ribosomal RNA
Rfam family: Bacterial small subunit ribosomal RNA
Source: RNAcentral